AUUGAACGCUGGCGGCAUGCUUUACACAUGCAAGUCGAACGGUAACAGGCCUUCGGGUGCUGACGAGUGGCGCACGGGUGAGUAAUGCAUCGGAACGUGCCCAGGGGUGGGGGAUAACGCAGCGAAAGCUGUGCUAAUACCGCAUGUGAUCUGAGGAUGAAAGCGGGGGACCAGGCAGCAAUGUUUGGCCUCGCGCCUUUGGAGCGGCCGAUGUCAGAUUAGGUAGUUGGUGGGGUAAAGGCCUACCAAGCCGACGAUCUGUAGCUGGUCUGAGAGGACGACCAGCCACACUGGGACUGAGACACGGCCCAGACUCCUACGGGAGGCAGCAGUGGGGAAUUUUGGACAAUGGGCGCAAGCCUGAUCCAGCAAUGCCGCGUGCGGGAAGAAGGCCUUCGGGUUGUAAACCGCUUUUGUACGGAACGAAAAGGCUCUGGCUAAUACCUGGGGCUGAUGACGGUACCGUAAGAAUAAGCACCGGCUAACUACGUG
Molecule: ribosomal RNA, 492 nt
Filed under: uncultured bacterium
Lineage: Bacteria
Description: partial 16S ribosomal RNA
Rfam family: Bacterial small subunit ribosomal RNA
Source: RNAcentral